RNAcentral lists this ribosomal RNA (249 nucleotides) under uncultured Streptococcus sp. RNAcentral's name for it is "partial 16S ribosomal RNA". It matches the Rfam family "Bacterial small subunit ribosomal RNA", at positions 95 to 339 of the family's 1533-position model. Lineage: Bacteria; Bacillati; Bacillota; Bacilli; Lactobacillales; Streptococcaceae. The record is from RNAcentral.
GUUGCGAACGGGUGAGUAACGCGUAGGUAACCUGACUGGUAGCGGGGGAUAACUAUUGGAAACGAUAGCUAAUACCGCAUAACAGUAGAUAUUGCAUGAUAUCUGCUUGAAAGGUGCAAUUGCAUCACUACCAGAUGGACCUGCGUUGUAUUAGCUAGUUGGUGAGGUAACGGCUCACCAAGGCGACGAUACAUAGCCGACCUGAGAGGAUGACCAGCCACACUGGAACUGAGACACGGUCCAGACUCC